CUUGCUCUGUGGGAUCAGUGGCGAACGGGUGAGUAACACGUGAGCAACCUGCCCCUGACUCUGGGAUAAGCGCUGGAAACGGCGUCUAAUACUGGAUAUGUGACGUGACCGCGUGGUCUGCGUCUGGAAAGAAUUUCGGUUGGGGAUGGGCUCGCGGCCUAUCAGCUUGUUGGUGAGGUAAUGGCUCACCAAGGCGUCAACGGGUAGCCGGCCUGAGAGGGUGACCGGCCACACUGGGACUGAGACACGGCCCAAACUCCUACGGGAGGCACCCGUGGGGAAUAUUGCACAACGGGCGCAAGCCUGAUGCACAACCCCGC
RNAcentral lists this ribosomal RNA (320 nucleotides) under uncultured bacterium. Its description in RNAcentral is "bacterial SSU rRNA". It matches the Rfam family "Bacterial small subunit ribosomal RNA", at positions 79 to 400 of the family's 1533-position model. The record is from RNAcentral.